AUACGUACACAUGCAAAUUCAACUACUUAGCUUUCGUUUAUGGGUUAUCUACUAAAGUACUAAUCCUCUUUUAAUAUAAUUAAUGAAGUAAUCUUAACUAUAACUUUGUAUAGUUUAACUUAUAUUAGGUACUAACUAGAUCCGGCCAUGCAGAAAAUUAUACAGCUAAGACUAAAAAGGAUAUGAAUUUCACUUGUUUUUCAAUUUUUGAUAGUAACUCAUACUCCAUUGGCAAUAAAACUACAAGGCCUUAAAUGAUUGUGGUUUUUCAAAAACAUUUCUCCAAAAAAAAACAGGAAAUCUAGUUUUUUGAGUGGUUUUAAGUAUGUUUCCAAGACAAAUUACAAUCCAUUUCCAUAUUUUUUUGGUUUUAAGUAUGUUUCCAAGACAAACUAAAAUCAUCAAUUAAUUACUUAAAUAAUUAAUUAAGUACCAAAGUUUUUUCUCUCUCUUCUCUUUCUAAAUUCUUUCAGAGAGAGAGAAACCUCAAACUCACUUUGCCGUCCGAAUUUUUUUCCGGCUACCGUCUUCUCUGAUAGGGAUUAUCGUCUGGCAAUUACCAGUUCUUUCCGGUGUUGGCCAGCUCUUGUCCGGUAUCAUUCAGCUUUCACAGUGAUGAUGGUCGGCUAUGCCGUCAGCGUUCUUUUGCUGCUUUUUGUUUUUUCAUAAAUUAGCUUUGCUUUCAAUAAAUCUCAUUUGAGAUGUGUUGGUGAUAAUGAUAGAGCGGUUUUCGCUUUUUGUUACUUAUUAUCUAACCUGUUUUUCUUUUUGAGUUUAGAAUUGCAGGAAACAAAUCAGAGAUUUGAGUUGGAAAAAAAAGUGAUUUCCGUUGCAUAUUAACAUUACCUUGAGCUGUUGUUUCUCUAAUUAGGGCUUCGAUUAUUUUUACCGGUGAAAACCCAUAAGAUUCCAUGUUUGAUUUGUUAAUCGACGUUGAAUCUUCACCGGAGUCGAUGUUUGACGGCGAAGGAUGAAGUCGGGAAAACUUUGGAUUCUCAUCCAGUACGUGUAUUGGUUUCUCUCCAGCAGAAGACACGUGGCUUUGGAUAGAGACAAAAGAUAAUAUUUCUUCUUCCAUAGACGGUUUCUCUGUUGGGCUUUAGUUGGGCCUAAUAUGUUUCUGUAGCUUUUUUGUUCUGGGGUAUUUCAUAAUCCAUGUAAUAUUUGACUUAAACAAUAAAAUUAUCCCUAUUGCGAAAAAAAGACUAAAACCAUCAACUACUUUUUUUCAUUUUAUUUUUGUAAAUAAAUAUAUAACCAAUAAUUGGUAAACAUCCAU
This 1279-nucleotide small RNA is filed under the name Arabidopsis thaliana (thale cress). Its description in RNAcentral is "ATSL259410". Lineage: Eukaryota; Viridiplantae; Streptophyta; Magnoliopsida; Brassicales; Brassicaceae. The record is from RNAcentral.